AGAAUCAACGCUGGCGGCGUGCCUAACACAUGCAAGUCGCACGAGAAAGGGGAGCAAUCCCUGAGUAAAGUGGCGCACGGGUGAGUAACACGUGAAUCAUCUACCUCCGAGUGGGGAAUAACCUAGAGAAAUCUGGGCUAAUACCGCAUAACACUUACGAGUCAAAGCAGCAAUGCGCUUGGAGAGGAGUUCGCGGCCGAUUAGUUAGUUGGCGGGGUAAUGGCCCACCAAGACGAUGAUCGGUAU
This 246-nucleotide ribosomal RNA is filed under the name uncultured bacterium. RNAcentral's name for it is "partial small subunit ribosomal RNA". It matches the Rfam family "Bacterial small subunit ribosomal RNA", at positions 26 to 286 of the family's 1533-position model. The record is from RNAcentral.